CUCCUGAGUCCCCGACGUAGGCCCCUGUGAGCCCACAGUAUUUUCCUUAUAUGAUCAGGCCCUUUGUGGGCGGCGCUGCUUGCCCGGGCCUGAGAGGAUUAGAAGAACGUGCUAGGCGAAGUGCGGCCUAGGGGACUUGGAG
This is a non-coding RNA of Dipodomys ordii (Ord's kangaroo rat), 142 nucleotides long. NCBI's taxonomy places the organism in Eukaryota, Metazoa, Chordata, Mammalia, Rodentia, Heteromyidae. The record is from Ensembl.